AUACUUUCUAUGAUAAAUUUAAAAUCUAUAUUAGUAGUAGAAAUUUAAAAUCAUUCAAGAAACGGUAUAACACGGGUGAGAUCCUAAAAUUAUUGUAUUU
This 100-nucleotide small RNA is filed under the name Arabidopsis thaliana (thale cress). RNAcentral's name for it is "ATSL099860". Lineage: Eukaryota; Viridiplantae; Streptophyta; Magnoliopsida; Brassicales; Brassicaceae. The record is from RNAcentral.